UUGAAACACCGGUUCCCGUACGAUCAGCGAAGUUAAGCAAGCUCGAGCCUGGUCACCACCUAGAUGGGUGUCCGCUUUGGGAAUUCCAGGUACUAU
Molecule: non-coding RNA, 96 nt
Organism: Acanthosepion pharaonis
Lineage: Eukaryota; Metazoa; Mollusca; Cephalopoda; Sepiida; Sepiidae
Source: the annotation of a GenBank genome assembly